Long non-coding RNA from Rattus norvegicus (Norway rat), 7689 nucleotides. RefSeq lists it as uncharacterized. NCBI's taxonomy places the organism in Eukaryota, Metazoa, Chordata, Mammalia, Rodentia, Muridae. The record is from RefSeq and is a predicted model, not a curated record.
CUCUCUCUCUCUCUCUCUCUCUCUCUCUCUCUCACGUGUGCCACUGCUACAUAAACAGAAACACUUUAACUCUUUACUCAUCAACAUUUUUCAGACUUCCUGUGGGUUCUACUUGUAUGAAUUCUCUCAUUCAAUCAGGAAACAUUUGCUUAAUAGCUAUCGUGUGCCACUCAUAUCAGGUCUAACGAGCUAAGCAAUGAGUAUGAACAAUACUGAACAAAUCAGACACAAGCCAAGAUUUCUUAGCAAUUUUUACCCACAAUCUGCGCAUGGUGGAGCAUGCCUUUAAUCCUAGCACUCAGGAGGAAGGGACAGGUGAGUCUCAGUGGUUUCAAGGCCAGCCUGGUGGUCUACAUACCAAGUUCCGGGACAGCCAGAGCUAAUGGUAAGAACCUGUUCAAAAAAGUAACUGUAACCUACCAAAUUAUACAACUGAUUUCACAAUAAAAACUGCAUACACAUACACAUGUAUACACAUAACACCAAGUCAUCUACUUGUGGCAUAUUACUGCAAUUCAGCAAGAAAAGAAUCUGUCAAUAAAUGAUGGAGAAGCAAUUUUUUGUUUUUAUGUUUAAGUACAUGUAUGUAAUGAACAUGUAGGGUGUAUACAGGCACGAGUGCAAGUUGCAUGCAUCUCUGAGUAUUCAGGGAAAACAGAGGACAUCAGGUGUCCUGAUUUAUCACUGGCUGCCUUAUUUGAGAUGAGGUCUCUCAUUGGACCCUGAAGGCCAGCAACCAAUGGGCCAUGAUCCUUCCGUCUCUGUCCAUUACAGUGCUACGGUUAUAAAACAUACAGCUACACUAGUCUUUCAUGGAUGGUGUUGUACAUUGAACUUAGGUCCACCUACCUCUGCCUCCCAGGUGCUGGGAUUAAAUGUGUGCCACACACCCAGCUUCACCCAACUUCUGAAAUAAAAACCUCUCGUUCUAAAUGCUGUUCUUGGCCCUGAGCACUUUCCUUGACUCCACAUCCUGUCACGUUACUUUACCCUAAGUUAAACUAAACUAAUCUUUCUCUGAGCACUUCCUCCUACUGCUUACUAUCACUGGGUUCAUAUCAACUUUAGUAACCCCGACCACUGCAAACUCACGUUUUAAAACUCCAAAAUUAUGUCUUUUAUUCACCCCAACAGAACCUCUUAUUCCUGAGCUCAGAAUUGAGAACUCCAUUUUUCUAAUACCUCGCCUAUUUCACAGCAAGCCAUGACUGCAAUAUUAACUUCUCAAACUGUAUACUUGUCUUCAUCCCCACUUUCCCCAUGUCAUCAAAUCUACUCCAUCCCCCUCUUCUAGCACCUCACCCUCUCAACUAUAGCUUACCUGAUAUAUCAUUAACCAUCUUCCUCUCCACUGACCUUUCCUAGUCCCUUGCCAAUCAGUCUUCAUAGUCUUUUCUAACCCUGUUCCCCUACUCCAACUUGUGUAACAUUCCCUCCUCUCACCUUCUCAGCUUAUUCCUGUGGCCUACUUCCUCCCAUCACUUAGUUCCUUCAGCUUCUUGAAAUCUGCCUUCUGUUGCUAUCAGACCGCAUUCACCACGAAAAGUAACCUCUACUGGCAAAUCUCUCACAGGACUUCCUGUGAAAUACUACCAUCGCCCCCUCUCUUCCUAAACCUACUGUUAGUCCACCUACCUAAUAGCUUGCCAGUGUCUAUUCUCUCCAUUUUCAAAUCAUCUGACCUUGUUUUGUUUGGGGUUCUUUUGUUGUUUGGGUUUUUUUUGUUUUGUUUUGUUUUGUUUUGUGGUUUUGUUUUUGGGGUUUUUUGCUUUUGUUUUUUUGAUACAGGGUUUCUCUCUAAUGUAGGCGUAGCUGGCCUAGAGCUUGCUAUAUAGACCAGGCUGGCUUUGAAGUUACACGGUGGGGCUGGGAUUAAAGACAUGUUGCCACCAUACCUAACCCUUUACACUUUUUUUUUUUAAGAUUUUUAUUUAAUUUAUGUAUGUGAGUACACUGUUGUUAUCUUCAGACACACCAGAAGAGGGCAUCAUAUUCCAUUACAGAUGGUUGUGAGCCACCAUGUGGUUGCUGGGAAUUGAACUCAGGACCUCUGAAAGAGCAGCCAGUGCUCUUAACCGCUGAACCAUCUCUCCAGUCCCCUUUAUACUUUUUAUGGACAAUUCCACUCACUUCAACUUCCUUAAGUAUCGUCUGGGAAAAUAAUGCAGAUUCACCAUAGAGAGAAGGAGCUCAGUCCCUUGUCUGGAACAGGUAUAUACUUAGCAAGGCCAGUAUGGCCAGGGACUUGGAGGAGCUGCUGUUUUCCAGACACUGAGAACCCAACUUUUCCCUCCCAAAGCCAGUGGUCUGUGAUGCACUUGAGAUAUCUUGGGAUCUCUUUGUGAAAAUUUGUUUAUCUUCUUGCAGACAGACUGUCCCAUUAUGUGACAGUUUUCUGCUGACUCUGUGACAUUUUCCCCUGCAAGCUGUAUAUAAAAUGCUGUACUUCUUGAUAAACUUUCUUGGCAUAAGAAACAGCUUGCUCAAGACCUUCCGAUCCCUGCUUUCCUAUCUUAUCCUUCCAUCCCCUAAGGGUUACGCCCUUAGGACCUGGUCACUGAAGAACAACUUGCUGGUCCAAGUCACAUUAUACUUCUAAUACUGCAAAACAGGUAUCACCUGGACCAACUGAUGCAUGUUAGAAAAAUGUAUCAUGGGACACUAAUCCCUCAAGAUGGAACUGCAGAAGAAAUCAGGAAGCAUUCGGCUACAUUUUCAUUUGUUUAUUGGCGUCUGGGGGAGUCAUACAUAUUGCAGUACUCAUGUAGAGGUCAGAGGACAAUGCUCAGGAGUGGUCUGUGUCUCUCUGUCUGUCUCUGUCUCUGUCUCUCUCUCAGUACCAAGUGAAUUCUUGUGUCAGUUUCAGCAGGAGGCACCUUUGCCCAAUGAACCAUCUUAUCAGUCCUCACAGCCAAUUUCUUUCUUUCUGUUUAUGUUUUUAAUUGAAAUAGAAUUAUAUCAGUUUCUCCCUUUCCUCUCCUCCCUUCACCCCCUCUCUGGUACACUCUCUUGAAAGCCACUUUCUUCGUGAGCCACAAUACACAAGAGCACACAGAGAAUUUAGAAAUCCUGAAGGUAUUUUUGAUCUUUGGUUUUAAACUAGUUAUUUUUUAGCCAUGUAAUUUUUUUCCCAAAGUAGGGAUAAUUAACACAAAAUGGUAAUAAAGGACAUGAAUGCUAUAGAUGUUGUAUUUAGAGACCAGAUGCUUAAUUCUGACCCUGUUUCUAACACUAGUUUUUUAUAACAGAUGCUUAUGACUCUUAAAUCCCAGUUUAAUCCAUAAUCAAAAAUAGUAAGUCACUUGAAAGAAUUAAAGUUUGUCAGGCCAAGGGUGUAGAAGGUGCAGUCCACUAAUGUCAUCUUCAGACACUUGCAGACAAGAUCUCAGACUGAGCUGAGUCUGUCAGUACAUGAACAGGAAGACAGAGUGUUGGACCGCUGGUUUUGACGAGUAUAUGACUCUCAGGUGAUUCCCAACACCAACAUGGCAGCUCACAACUCUCAGUCCAGUUCCAAAGGAUCUGACAUCCUCUCCUGGUCACCACAGGCACCAGGAACACACAUGGCACACAUGUGGACAUGCAGGAAAAAUGCUCAUAGACACAAAAUAAAAAAUAUAAAUCAAAAUGAAAAUAUUUUAAGAAGGGAAUGGUGGCACAUGCCUUUAUUCUGAGAACCCAAGAGGCAAAGGCAGGCAGAUCUCUGAGUUUGAGACCAGCCUGUUCUACAAAACAAGUGCAGGACAGUACAUUUCUGUUAAUAUACAUAUGAAAAAUUAAAUAUACUAUUAAGCAAGUUCUUUAGUGUUCACAUUAUAUACUAUAGGUAUAUUGGGGUAAAAAGCUAGAAAACAGUAGAUUUCUGAAUGGAUCUGAUAACACAUUAUUCUGCAGAAAGGCCAUUUCUAAAGGAGAGUCAUGAGAAAAAAUUCUCUAAUGACAUGAUUACUUUUAUGAAUUUGAGGUCUUAAUCUCAAAACUCAUUCCAAAAGAUCUUUCCUAGAGGUAUCGCUAACAUAAAUACCUGUGUGUUUUCAGAUUAGCCAUUUUUUAUUCUCAGUGUUUUUUUUCUAAAAGUAUAUACAUUGGGCUGGAGAGAUGGCUCGGUGGUUAAGAGCACCAACUGCUCUUCCCAAGGUCCUGAGUUCAAAUCCCAGCAACCACAUGGUGGCUCACAACCAUCUGAAAUGAGAUCUGAUGCCCUCUUCUGGUGUGUCUGAAGAUAGCGACAAUGUAAUCAUAAUAUAUAAUAAAUAAAUAAAAUAUUUUAAAAGUAUAUCCAUCAAAUAAACUAUAAUAAGUGACUAUAACCAGGCAAAGGGGAAAGAUUUUGCCAAUGGAAAGAAAAGCCUUGAUAUAUCUUAUAUCUUGAUAUAACACACUAACAUAGGUAAAUGUAGUGAACCAAGAUGAAACAUGUUUAUUAAGAAGAAACUGUGCAUCUUAAACUGAGAUUAUGAUUAUGCCUAAAGCUCUACAUUUAAAAACUCUCAAAUGAUACUAAAUACUGGAUUUUUCUAGUAUGUCAAUUUUGCUUGACCCCAGGGAGCAGGAAUAGGAAAACAAAAACUCAUCUGUGGAGACAUGCAUACAAAAACACCUUUAUGUCUUGCAUAAAUAUAAUUUCAAAGGCAAAGAGCAGCUAGUAUCUUAAAAAUACUCAAGGGGGAAAAGCUAGGCACGGUGGCAACACAACUAUAAUCCUAGCACGGGCAAAGUCUGAGGCAGGAGACUCCCAAGCUCCAAAGCAGACUAAAUACAAAAAUACUAGUAAGAUCGAUUGCAUAUGAAGAGAUCGUGGGAUAUCAACUCUGCCAAACCAAGUCCUCAGAGAUCUGUGCUCAUGGCCAACGAUAAGAGCUUUAGACACACUGCCACUGGGCAUACCUAAAUAGAUUAGAAACUGCUGACACUAGUUCUACCAAAAUAAACAGUAUAAUGAUAAAUUUUAAAGUGAGAUGAGCUGAGUUGGUCGGUGGUGGUGCAAGCCUUUAACACCCAAUAUAUGGGAGGCAAAAGCAGGCAGAUCUCUGAGUUGGGAGGCCAGCCAGGUCUACAAAUAGAGUUUCAGGAUAGCCAGGGCUACACAGAGAAACUCUGUCUUGAAAAACCAGAGAGAGGGGAAAGGGGCUGGGCUGGGCUGGCCUGUAACCCCAGCAUUCAGAAGAGGGAAGCAGGGGGACUGCGAAUAUGACCCCAUCCUGGGUUACACAGGGAGACCCUUUCUCAAAAAAAGAAAGAAAAAGAAAAAAAGGGAAGGAAAACAAAACCAACUCAACGAAUGCAUCGAUGUUGUUUUAUGUACUAGACUGCAUGUCUACGCACACGGGAGUUGACUCGAGGACUUAAGAGGUGCACUGAACAGGAGCUGUGUAACAAUAACUUGUCGACUGGGCGGAGCUCUAUCUCAAUUUUACACAAAACUUAAGAGGUUCUUGAAUUUCAAGUCUUAAAACAAUUUCAAACAAAAAUGGGCUGAGAAUAAAAACAAAAAAGCCCGGCUUCAAAUCCUCUGACUUCCGAAUCACUUUUGGAAGAUGCUGGAGGCUGGAAAAGAAAAAUGCUAUUAAACGAGCCAGUCGGACGAGAAGGACAGCUGGAGUAUUUAUUUACUCGAGGAGCUGAGGGGACGAUCAACAAGCCCCGCCUUCCUCGCUUGCAGCCUCUCCGACCUGCCAAAGGAAGGAGGGAAGGCGGCCAGGCAAGGGGUCAAAGGAUCCGAGGAAAGUGACAUCUUGUGCAGGCACAGAACUGCAUAGCACCCGAAUAAACAAGAGUUGAGACUUGAAAGAGCACUGCGUUUUUGUGCCAACCAGCUGUGAUGAUUAAUCUGUCAACUUGAAUGGAUUUAGAAUCACCAUGGAAACACACUUCUGAAUGCAUCUCUGAAAGUGCUUUGAGAAAGCCUUAACUGAAAAGGCUCAGCCUUAACCCAAAUGUGGGUACUACAUUUCUAGGCUGGGGCCAGACUGAAUAGAGGGAGACAAUGAACUGAACACUGGAAUUCAUCUCUCUUCACUUUGUGACUGAGGCAAUGUGACCAGCUAGUCCAUUCCCCUGUCACUUCCCCACCAUGAUGGUCUAUACCUGUGGUUUGAAUGCUUGGCCACAGGGAGGGGCACUAUUAGGAGAUGAGGCCUUGUUGGCAGAAGUAUGUCACCGUGGAGGCAGGCUUUGAGAUCUUAAAUGCUCAAGCUAUGCCCAGUCUGGUUCUGCUGCCUGCAGAUCAAGAUAUAGAAAUCUCAGCACCUUCUCCAGCAGCACAUCUGCCUGAAGCCUGCCAUGCUUCCUGAAACGACACUAACGGACUGAGCCUCUGAAACUGGAAAAGAAGUAAAAGUGGGCUGGUGACAUUGCUCAGUGACUGGAGCCCAUUAGUGCAUAUCUACAAUGGUAGUGCUCCUACUGGAAAAUGGAUGGUAAAGACAAGUGGAUCUCCAGGGGCUGGCGGGCCUUCUAACCUAGUAUGUGUACCAGCAAGCAACAAAGACACCCCACCUCAACCAAUGCAGAAGGUAAGCAUCAGCCCUGAGGUUGUCCUCUGAUCUCCACACGUGUGUGUGUGCCCACUUGUAUGCACAUACUUACACACAUCACAUGUACACAGAGGUGGUGUUUCAAAACCCGUGAAACCAUCAGUUGUUCAUCUGUCCUGGCCAUUUGGCACGGGUUAGGACUGAAAGUAUUAGCUUGCUUCCUGGGCUGUCACAGGAGAAAGAAAUAUGGCUUCUUCAGCAUGCCAGGAUAUUUUUCUGGAUGUUAUAAAAGUUGAUAAUCUGGGCAGGCUGUAAAAGGUUUUCCUCCAUAUUUGUAUUCCUCCAACUCUCAACUUCUGGGAUUAAAGGCACGAGCUCUGAAUUACCCCAAGAUAAAAUCCACAGACCACAUGAAGCUCAAGAAGAAGGACGACCAAAGUGUGGAUGCUUCACUCCUUAAAAGGGGGAACAAAAUAUUCAUAGAAGGAGAUAUGGAGGCAAAGUUUGGAGCAGAGACUGAAGGAACGGCUAUUCAGAGCCUGCCCCACCUGGGGAUCCAGUCCUUAUAUAGACAGCCAUCAAAACUAGAUAAGAUUGAUGAAGCUAAGAAGUGCAUGCUGACAGGAGCCUGAUACAGCUGUCUCCUGAGAGGCACAGCCAGAGCGUGACAAAUACAGAGGCAAAUGCUAGCAACAAACCAUUGAAACAUUGGAUCCCUGUUGGAGGAAUUAGAGAAAGGAUUGAAAGAACUGAAGGGGCUUGCAACCCCAUAAGAACAAUAAUGUCGGGGUGGGGAUUUAGCUCAGUGGUAGAGCGCUUACCUAGGAAGCACAAGGCCCUGGGUUCGGUCCCCAGCUCCGAAAAAAAAAAAAAAAAACAAAAAAAAAAAAACCAAAAAAAAAAAAAAAAAGAACAAUAAUGUCAACCAACCAGAGCUCCCAGGGACUAAACCACUAUCCAAAGAGUACACAUGGACAGACCCAUGGCUCCGGAUGCAUAUGUAGAAGAGGAUGGCCUUACUGGGUACCAAAGGAAGGAGAAGUCCUUGGUCCUGCCAAGGCUAGACCCCCCCAGUGUAGGGGGAUAUGUGAGGGGGGUGGAGUUGGUUGGGAAGAGGAACACCCUUAUAGAAGAAGGGGUGGGGGAUGAGAUAGGAGCCUUAUGUCCGGGAAACAGGAAAAGAAUAAUAUUUGAAAUGUAAAUAAAAAAAGAC